GUAUUAGUAGCUCAGUCUCAGAGCGUUGGCCUUGUAAGCCAAAUGUCGAAGGUUAGACUCCUUCCUAAUGCU
This 72-nucleotide transfer RNA is filed under the name Arcos sp. KU 149. RNAcentral describes it as "tRNA-Thr". It matches the Rfam family "tRNA". Rfam says of the family: Transfer RNA (tRNA) molecules are approximately 80 nucleotides in length. Their secondary structure includes four short double-helical elements and three loops (D, anti-codon, and T loops). Further hydrogen bonds mediate the characteristic L-shaped molecular structure. tRNAs have two regions of fundamental functional importance: the anti-codon, which is responsible for specific mRNA codon recognition, and the 3' end, to which the tRNAs corresponding amino acid is attached (by aminoacyl-tRNA synthetases). tRNAs cope with the degeneracy of the genetic code in two manners: having more than one tRNA (with a specific anti-codon) for a particular amino acid; and 'wobble' base-pairing, i.e. permitting non-standard base-pairing at the 3rd anti-codon position. RNAcentral also lists the same sequence under 1 other name. The record is from RNAcentral. Lineage: Eukaryota; Metazoa; Chordata; Actinopteri; Blenniiformes; Gobiesocidae.